This 406-nucleotide ribosomal RNA is filed under the name uncultured bacterium. RNAcentral's name for it is "partial 16S ribosomal RNA". It matches the Rfam family "Bacterial small subunit ribosomal RNA", at positions 30 to 526 of the family's 1533-position model. The record is from RNAcentral.
AUUGAACGCUGGCGGCAGGCCUAACACAUGCAAGUCGCACGAGUGGCGGACGGGUGAGUAAUGUCUGUGAAACUGCCUGAUGGAGGGGGAUAACUAAUGGAAACGGUAGCUACAACCGCAUACCAUCAGAUGUGCCAAGAUGGGUUGAGUUUGGUGGGGGGGUAACGGAUCACCAAGGCGACGAUCCCUAGCUGGUCUGAGAGGAUGACCAGCCACACUGGAACUGAUACACGGUCCAGACGCCUACGGGAGGCAGCAGUGGGGAAUAUUGCACAAGGGGCGCAAGCCUGAUGCAGCCAUGCCGCGUGUAUGAAGAGGGCCUUCGGGUUGUAAAGUACUUUCAGCGGGGAGGCGUUACCCGCAGAAGAAGCACCGGCUAACUCCGUGCCAGCAGCCGCGGUAAUAC